This 242-nucleotide ribosomal RNA is filed under the name uncultured bacterium. Its description in RNAcentral is "partial 16S ribosomal RNA". It matches the Rfam family "Bacterial small subunit ribosomal RNA", at positions 355 to 590 of the family's 1533-position model. The record is from RNAcentral.
UAGGGAAUCUUCCACAAUGGACGCAAGUCUGAUGGAGCAACGCCGCGUGAGUGAAGAAGGUCUUCGGAUCGUAAAGCUCUGUUGUUGGUGAAGAAGGAUAGAGGCAGUAAAUGGUCUUUAUUUGACGGUAAUCAACCAGAAAGUCACGGCUAACUACGUGCCAGCAGCCGCGGUAAUACGUAGGUGGCAAGCGUUGUCCGGAUUUAUUGGGCGUAAAGCGAGCGCAGGCGAAUGAUAAGUCU